RNAcentral lists this ribosomal RNA (434 nucleotides) under uncultured Alphaproteobacteria bacterium. Its description in RNAcentral is "bacterial SSU rRNA". It matches the Rfam family "Bacterial small subunit ribosomal RNA", at positions 8 to 488 of the family's 1533-position model. The record is from RNAcentral. Lineage: Bacteria; Pseudomonadati; Pseudomonadota; Alphaproteobacteria.
AGAGUUUGAUCAUGGCUCAGAACGAACGCUGGCGGCAGGCUUAACACAUGCAAGUCGAACGCCCUCUUUUGAGGGAGUGGCAGACGGGUGAGUAACGCGUGGGAAUCUACCUAGUGGUAAGGAACAACACAGAGAAAUUUGUGCUAAUACCUUAUACGCCCUCCGGGGGAAAGAUUUAUCGCCAUUAGAUGGGCCCGCGUUUGAUUAGCUAGUUGGUGAGGUAAUGGCUCACCAAGGCGACGAUCAAUAGCUGGUCUGAGAGGAUGAUCAGCCACACUGGGACUGAGACACGGCCCAGACUCCUACGGGAGGCAGCAGUGGGGAAUAUUGGACAAUGGGCGCAAGCCUGAUCCAGCCAUGCCGCGUGUGUGAUGAAGGCCUUAGGGUUGUAAAGCACUUUCAACGGUGAAGAUAAUGACGGUAACCGUAGAAGA